RNAcentral lists this ribosomal RNA (467 nucleotides) under uncultured bacterium. Its description in RNAcentral is "bacterial SSU rRNA". It matches the Rfam family "Bacterial small subunit ribosomal RNA", at positions 32 to 507 of the family's 1533-position model. The record is from RNAcentral.
CGGACAACGCUGGCGGCGUGCUUAACACAUGCAAGUCGAACGGUGACGAGGAGCUUGCUCCUCUGAUCAGUGGCGAACGGGUGAGUAACACGUGAGCAACCUGCCCCAGACUCUGGGAUAACAGUUGGAAACAGCUGCUAAUACCGGAUACGAGACGGAGAGGCAUCUCUACCGUCUGGAAAGUUUUUCGGUCUGGGAUGGACUCGCGGCCUAUCAGCUAGUUGGUGAGGUAAUGGCUCACCAAGGCGACGACGGGUAGCCGGCCUGAGAGGGCGACCGGCCACACUGGGACUGAGACACGGCCCAGACUCCUACGGGAGGCAGCAGUGGGGAAUAUUGCACAAUGGGCGAAAGCCUGAUGCAGCGACGCCGCGUGAGGGAUGACGGCCUUCGGGUUGUAAACCUCUUUCAGCAGGGAAGAAGCGAAAGUGACGGUACCUGCAGAAGAAGCACCGGCUAACUACGUG